UCUAAGGAACUCGGCAAAAUAGCCCCGUAACUUCGGGAGAAGGGGUGCCUCCUUACAAAGGGGGUCGCAGUGACCAGGACCUGGGAGAUUGUUUACCAAAAACACAGGUCUCCGCAAAGUCGUACGACCAUGUAUGGGGGUUGACGCCUGCCCAGUCCCGGAAGGUCAAGAAAGUUGGUGACCGGAUGACAGGGGAGCCGGCGACCGAAGCCUCGGUGAACGGCGGCCGUAACUAUAGCGGUCCUAAGGUAGCAAAAUUCCUUGUCGGGUAAGUUCCGACAUGUCGGGUAAGUUCUGACAUGUCUGUGA
Molecule: non-coding RNA, 309 nt
Filed under: Amborella trichopoda
Lineage: Eukaryota; Viridiplantae; Streptophyta; Magnoliopsida; Amborellales; Amborellaceae
Description: Bacterial large subunit ribosomal RNA
Rfam family: Bacterial large subunit ribosomal RNA
Source: Rfam by way of RNAcentral